RNAcentral lists this ribosomal RNA (820 nucleotides) under uncultured bacterium. RNAcentral's name for it is "bacterial SSU rRNA". It matches the Rfam family "Bacterial small subunit ribosomal RNA", at positions 58 to 878 of the family's 1533-position model. The record is from RNAcentral.
CAAGUCGAACGAAGCACUUAUCUUUGAAUCUUCGGAUGAAGAGGUUUGUGACUGAGUGGCGGACGGGUGAGUAACGCGUGGGUAACCUGCCUCAUACAGGGGGAUAACAGUUAGAAAUGACUGCUAAUACCGCAUAAGACCACGGAGCCGCAUGGCUCCGUGGGAAAAACUCCGGUGGUAUGAGAUGGACCCGCGUCUGAUUAGGUAGUUGGUGGGGUAACGGCCUACCAAGCCGACGAUCAGUAGCCGACCUGAGAGGGUGACCGGCCACAUUGGGACUGAGACACGGCCCAAACUCCUACGGGAGGCAGCAGUGGGGAAUAUUGCACAAUGGGGGAAACCCUGAUGCAGCGACGCCGCGUGAGCGAAGAAGUAUUUCGGUAUGUAAAGCUCUAUCAGCAGGGAAGAAAAUGACGGUACCUGACUAAGAAGCACCGGCUAAAUACGUGCCAGCAGCCGCGGUAAUACGUAUGGUGCAAGCGUUAUCCGGAUUUACUGGGUGUAAAGGGAGCGUAGAUGGCUGUGUAAGUCUGAAGUGAAAGCCCGGGGCUCAACCCCGGGACUGCUUUGGAAACUAUGCAGCUAGAGUGUCGGAGAGGUAAGUGGAAUUCCCAGUGUAGCGGUGAAAUGCGUAGAUAUUGGGAGGAACACCAGUGGCGAAGGCGGCUUACUGGACGAUGACUGACGUUGAGGCUCGAAAGCGUGGGGAGCAAACAGGAUUAGAUACCCUGGUAGUCCACGCCGUAAACGAUGGCUACUAGGUGUCGGGGAGCAAAGCUCUUCGGUGCCGCAGCAAACGCAAUAAGUAGUCCACCUGGGG